Molecule: ribosomal RNA, 469 nt
Filed under: Klebsiella pneumoniae
Lineage: Bacteria; Pseudomonadati; Pseudomonadota; Gammaproteobacteria; Enterobacterales; Enterobacteriaceae
Description: bacterial SSU rRNA
Rfam family: Bacterial small subunit ribosomal RNA
Source: RNAcentral
CUAGUAGGUNGGGGUAACGGCUCACCUAGGCGACGAUCCCUAGCUGGUCUGAGAGGAUGACCAGCCACACUGGAACUGAGACACGGUCCAGACUCCUACGGGAGGCAGCAGUGGGGAAUAUUGCACAAUGGGCGCAAGCCUGAUGCAGCCAUGCCGCGUGUGUGAAGAAGGCCUUCGGGUUGUAAAGCACUUUCAGCGGGGAGGAAGGCGGUGAGGUUAAUAACCUCAUCGAUUGACGUUACCCGCAGAAGAAGCACCGGCUAACUCCGUGCCAGCAGCCGCGGUAAUACGGAGGGUGCAAGCGUUAAUCGGAAUUACUGGGCGUAAAGCGCACGCAGGCGGUCUGUCAAGUCGGAUGUGAAAUCCCCGGGCUCAACCUGGGAACUGCAUUCGAAACUGGCAGGCUAGAGUCUUGUAGAGGGGGGUAGAAUUCCAGGUGUAGCGGUGAAAUGCGUAGAGAUCUGGAGGA